GCGUCGAGCGGCGGACGGGUGAGUAAUGCCUAGGAAAUUGCCCUGAUGUGGGGGAUAACCAUUGGAAACGAUGGCUAAUACCGCAUGAUGCCUACGGGCCAAAGAGGGGGACCUUCGGGCCUCUCGCGUCAGGAUAUGCCUAGGUGGGAUUAGCUAGUUGGUGAGGUAAGGGCUCACCAAGGCGACGAUCCCUAGCUGGUCUGAGAGGAUGAUCAGCCACACUGGAACUGAGACACGGUCCAGACUCCUACGGGAGGCAGCAGUGGGGAAUAUUGCACAAUGGGCGCAAGCCUGAUGCAGCCAUGCCGCGUGUGUGAAGAAGGCCUUCGGGUUGUAAAGCACUUUCAGUCGUGAGGAAGGUAGUGUAGUUAAUAGCUGCAUUAUUUGACGUUAGCGACAGAAGAAGCACCGGCUAACUCCGUGCCAGCAGCCGCGGUAAUACGGAGGGUGCGAGCGUUAAUCGGAAUUACUGGGCGUAAAGCGCAUGCAGGUGGUUUGUUAAGUCAGAUGUGAAAGCCCGGGGCUCAACCUCGGAAUAGCAUUUGAAACUGGCAGACUAGAGUACUGUAGAGGGGGGUAGAAUUUCAGGUGUAGCGGUGAAAUGCGUAGAGAUCUGAAGGAAUACCGGUGGCGAAGGCGGCCCCCUGGACAGAUACUGACACUCAGAUGCGAAAGCGUGGGGAGCAAACAGGAUUAGAUACCCUGGUAGUCCACGCCGUAAACGAUGUCUACUUGGAGGUUGUGGCCUUGAGCCGUGGCUUUCGGAGCUAACGCGUUAAGUAGACCGCCUGGGGAGUACGGUCGCAAGAUUAAAACUCAAAUGAAUUGACGGGGGCCCGCACAAGCGGUGGAGCAUGUGGUUUAAUUCGAUGCAACGCGAAGAACCUUACCUACUCUUGACAUCCAGAGAACUUUCCAGAGAUGGAUUGGUGCCUUCGGGAACUCUGAGACAGGUGCUGCAUGGCUGUCGUCAGCUCGUGUUGUGAAAUGUUGGGUUAAGUCCCGCAACGAGCGCAACCCUUAU
This 1024-nucleotide ribosomal RNA is filed under the name Vibrio parahaemolyticus. RNAcentral describes it as "bacterial SSU rRNA". It matches the Rfam family "Bacterial small subunit ribosomal RNA", at positions 88 to 1108 of the family's 1533-position model. Lineage: Bacteria; Pseudomonadati; Pseudomonadota; Gammaproteobacteria; Vibrionales; Vibrionaceae. The record is from RNAcentral.